AAAUUAACAAAUAAUGAAUGUUUUUAUUCGUGCAAUGGUAAGAAUAUUUUCAUUCGGUGAAAGAUGGAAUGUUCCAUUCAACUCGGCUGUCGCCUCGUUGAAUGGAACAUUACAUCUUUCACCUCAUUAAAAUAUUCUUACCAUUGCACGAAUAAAAACAUUCAUUAUUUGUUU
This 174-nucleotide microRNA precursor is filed under the name Paramuricea clavata. The record is from RNAcentral. Lineage: Eukaryota; Metazoa; Cnidaria; Anthozoa; Malacalcyonacea; Plexauridae.